UACGGAGGGGGUUAGCGUUGUUCGGAAUGACUGGGCGUAAAGCGCGCGUAGGCGGACCUGCAAGUCGGGGGUGAAAUCCCGGGGCUCAACCCUGGAAUGGCCUUCGAGACUGCCGGUCUUGAGUUCGAGAGAGGUGGGUGGAAUUCCGAGUGUAGAGGUGAAAUUCGUAGAUAUUCGGAGGAACACCGGUGGCGAAGGCGGUUCUCUGGGCAUGAUCUGACGCUGAGGAGCGAAAGUGUGGGGAGCGAACAGG
Molecule: ribosomal RNA, 253 nt
Filed under: uncultured bacterium
Lineage: Bacteria
Description: partial 16S ribosomal RNA
Rfam family: Bacterial small subunit ribosomal RNA
Source: RNAcentral